This 733-nucleotide long non-coding RNA is filed under the name Homo sapiens (human). RNAcentral's name for it is "HSALNT0380713". Lineage: Eukaryota; Metazoa; Chordata; Mammalia; Primates; Hominidae. The record is from RNAcentral.
UUGGUGUGGGGGCAGUUUUUAUGUUCUAUAAUACAAAGCAUACUAAAUGGAAUAAAUGGAAAUUUAGAGUCACAGUUAAACAUUCGACUUAUGUCUUCUCUUUUAAGCAUUUUAAACUACCUCUAUUAUAUUGAUUUUUAGAAGAAUUGUUUUCUAAAGAAAACUGCUUCCUGAUGUUGGCGCAGGUGGGCUCUCUGUGAUAUCUGCGGCCAUGUGCUGUGUUUAGUCAUUCCUCCCAAUGCCAGUGAUCCCUUAAAUCUGGGUGUUGUCCAUCAUCAUCCCUGCCCGUCUCCGUGCAUCCACAACUGCCACAUCCUGAGAGCUCAGUCCAUCAUAAAUGCAAUUAUAGCCUUUUACCUCCUCCUCACCAGAUACUCUCUACAGGGCAAGUUCAUCAAACUGUGUGCUUAGAAGCUCUGGAGCAGAACUCUCACCCACCAGAAGAUUGCCUCAAGAGAUAAAAGAUGAUUUACAACCCAAAGUAUGCCCACUAGAGGUUUUGGCCAUUUUUACAAUGUAUUCCUGCCCAUGAAGAUGCCAACUUGACUGCCCAAUACAUAAAGCACCAAAGCAAGUAUGCGGACCCCCCCACACCUCCUCACUUCUGCUCCUGUGUAGACCCCCAUCUUUAAAAGCACUUACUUUCUCCUGCAAAAGCAAAUCAGACCCUUACAGCAGGAAGGCUUUUCUUCUUCUCCUAAACUAGCUUUGGAAUAAAAAGUUAUUUUCUUUA